GACGAACGCUGGCGGCGUGCUUAACACAUGCAAGUCGAACGGAAAGGCCCUGCUUUUGUGGGGUGCUCGAGUGGCGAACGGGUGAGUAACACGUGAGUAACCUGCCCUUGACUUUGGGAUAACUUCAGGAAACUGGGGCUAAUACCGGAUAGGAGCUCCUGCUGCAUGGUGGUGGUUGGAAAGUUUCGGCGGCUGGGGAUGGACUCGCGGCUUAUCCGCUUGUUGGUGGGGUAGUGGCUUACCAAGGCUUUGACGGGUAGCCGGCCUGAGAGGGUGACCGGCGACAUUGGGACUGAGAUACGGCCCAGACUCCUACGGGAGGCAGCAGUGGGGAAUAUUGCACAAUGGGCGGAAGCCUGAUGCAGCAACGCCGCGUGCGGGAUGCCGGCCUUCGGGUUGUAAACCGAUUUCGCCUGUGACGAAGCGUGAGUGACGGUAAUGGGUAAAGAAGCACCGGCUAACUACGUG
This 468-nucleotide ribosomal RNA is filed under the name uncultured bacterium. RNAcentral describes it as "partial 16S ribosomal RNA". It matches the Rfam family "Bacterial small subunit ribosomal RNA", at positions 28 to 507 of the family's 1533-position model. The record is from RNAcentral.